GGUUACGGGGCGCCAUCCAGGUCCUGCAGACUGCUCGUAGAAAGCGCUUUGCGGGCGACGAGGACAACGCGACCGUCGAUUCGGACGACGAGGAGGUGCGCUCCGUGGCUUCUGAUAGUCUACUGGGGUCUCCCCGUCAUGACGUGGCCGCGCCGCGCUUCCGUCUGGC
RNAcentral lists this non-coding RNA (169 nucleotides) under Pelagomonas calceolata. Lineage: Eukaryota; Pelagophyceae; Pelagomonadales; Pelagomonadaceae. The record is from RNAcentral.